Molecule: long non-coding RNA, 658 nt
Organism: Triticum urartu
Lineage: Eukaryota; Viridiplantae; Streptophyta; Magnoliopsida; Poales; Poaceae
Source: RefSeq, a predicted model, not a curated record
AAACAAAGAGGCGAACAUCCAUUCUUGCCCCCUAUAAGUAGCUCAUCACAUCACACUAAGUUUAUUCUCUACUAGAGAGUUGUACGAAACCAUUCAGUUCAACUAAUUUGAGCAGAAUUAUUACACUAUUCGUAAUGAAGAUCGGUGUGAUCAUGUUUGUUGGGCUGAUUUUUAUCAACUUAUGCACCUGCAUGCCAAGAAAUGUGGCGAACCAUGGAUCUCACGAUGCAACUGUGCCACACAAGGAGAUGCGCAAUUUGAUGUCUAGCACUGAUGGAAGGAAUGGGCCUCCGAGCAACGAUCACCAGUGCCCACUUGGAACCUACCCUAAUUGCCAAGGGGUGUCCCAGAAUACUCAAGAAGCAGCUCUAGAUGUUGGAGGAAACUAAGGGAAACUGAGGGAUUAUGAGAUGGAAUUAAUACCCCCAGUUUAUGUUGCUUUUACUUCCACGUACGGAGUCAUUUGGCUUGAGAUAUGCUCCAUGUUGUCAAUGUUUCUGCACAGUCCGUCCAUACCACCCUAUAUCAUAAUUGCCCUAUAUGCUACACACCAUCAAGUUCUCAGGAAUGUACCUAUCCUGUAUGCCACUGAUGUACAGGUUGAAUUGACAGAUACUCAUAUGUGUGUGAUACUUGAGUAAAAUAUUUUCGAAGCUAA